RNAcentral lists this unclassified non-coding RNA (24 nucleotides) under Mus musculus (house mouse). RNAcentral describes it as "oocyte_clustered_small_RNA12055". The record is from RNAcentral. Lineage: Eukaryota; Metazoa; Chordata; Mammalia; Rodentia; Muridae.
UUAGCCUUGGGAAGGGCUAGUAGA